CCAGCUCCAAUAGCGUAUAUUAAAGUUGUUGCAGUUAAAAAGCUCGUAGUUGAAUUUCGGGGUUAGUAGGUUGGUCAUGCCUCUGGUAUGUACUGGUCUCACUGAUUCCUCCUUCCUGAUGAACCGUAAUGCCAUUAAUUUGGUGUUGCGGGGAAUUUGGACUGUUACUUUGAAAAAAUUAGAGUGUUUAAAGCAGGCAUACGCUUGA
Molecule: ribosomal RNA, 208 nt
Filed under: uncultured fungus
Lineage: Eukaryota; Fungi
Description: partial small subunit ribosomal RNA
Rfam family: Eukaryotic small subunit ribosomal RNA
Source: RNAcentral